This 3376-nucleotide ribosomal RNA is filed under the name Acidimicrobiia bacterium. RNAcentral describes it as "partial 23S ribosomal RNA". It matches the Rfam family "Bacterial large subunit ribosomal RNA", at positions 1 to 2569 of the family's 2925-position model. The record is from RNAcentral. Lineage: Bacteria; Bacillati; Actinomycetota; Acidimicrobiia.
GUUCAAGCUACCAAGGGUCUACGGUGGAUGCCUUGGUGUCGAGAGCCGACGAAGGACGUAGCAGGCUGCGAAAGCCCCGGGUAGCUGCCAAGCAAGCUCCGAUCCGGGGGUGUCCGAAUGGGGAAACCCGGCUGGGGUAAUGCCCAGUCACUCCGGUCUGAACACAUAGGGCCGGUAGAGGUAACCGGGUGAACUGAAACAUCUAAGUAACCCGAGGAAAGUAAAGCAACCGCGACUCCCUGAGUAGUGGCGAGCGAAACGGGAAGAGCCUAAACCGAUGUGGUGUGAUAGCCCGACGGCGUUGCCAUAUCGGUGUUGUGGGACCCGCCCGCCGGUGCGUCGGAACCGGCAGGAAGUUACAAAGCCGGGUGAUAGUAGAACAGGUCUGGAAAGACCGGCCAUAGAAGGUAAUAGCCCUGUACACGAAAUCACUCCGGUCUUCCGGUGGUGAUCCCGAGUAGCGUCGGGGAUAUCUGGCGUGAAUCCGCGAGGACCACCUCGUAAGGCUAAGUACUACUCGACGACCGAUAGCGGACUAGUACCGUGAGGGAAAGGUGAAAAGAACCCCGGCGAGGGGAGUGAAACAGUACCUGAAACCGUAGACCUACAAGCAGUGGGAGGGGGCGUUUAGACGCUCCUGACCGCCUGCCUUUUGAAGAAUGAGCCGGCGAGUUAGUGCUAUGUGGCAAGGUUAAGGCGUAGUCCGGAGCCGAAGCGAAAGCGAGUCUGAAUAGGGCGCACAGUCGCAUGGUCUAGACCCGAAGCCGAGUGAGCUAUCCAUGGGCAGGGUGAAGCGAGGGUAAGACCUCGUGGAGGCCCGAACCCACCUAGGUUGAAAACUGGGGGGAUGACCUGUGGAUAGGGGUGAAAGGCCAAACAAACUCGGUGAUAGCUGGUUCUCCCCGAAAUAGCUUUAGGGCUAGCGUCGCGUGUUCCGCUAUGGGGGUAGAGCACUGAUUGGGCUAGGGGGCUUACCCGCUUACCAAACUCAGUCAAACUCCGAAUCUCAUAGUGCCAAAGUGCGGCAGUCAGACCGUGUGGGAUGAGCUUCACGGUCGAAAGGGAAACAGCCCAGAUCGCCGGCUAAGGCCCCUAAGUGUGUGCUAAGUGGGAAACGAGGUAGAAACGCCAAAACAGCCAGGAGGUUGGCUUAGAAGCAGCCAUUCCUUGAAAGAGUGCGUAACAGCUCACUGGUCGAGUGUUUCUGCGCGGAAAAUGUAACGGGGCUCAAGCACACCGCCGAAGCCGCGGGAUUUCAUCAUCAACUCCGGCGCAACCAAAGCGUUCGCGCUUUAAACGCGUCCAGAGGAUGGGAUCGGUAGGGGAGCGUCGAGCAGCCAGAGAAGCAGCGGCGUAAGCCAGCUGUGGAGGCUGCUGGAGUGAGAAUGCCGGUAUGAGUAGCGAGAGUGGAGUGAGAAUCUCCACCGCCGAAAGUCCAAGGUUUCCUGGGGAAGGCUCGUCCGCCCAGGGUUAGUCGGGACCUAAGGCGAGGCCGAAAGGCGUAGUCGAUGGAUAACUGGUUGAUAUUCCAGUACCACCAUGCAAACGUCCAGACCAAAUGCGGUCAGCUAAGAAGGGUCCUUCGGGACGCUUCGACCCGGCCACAGGAGGUCAGCAAUGGGAUGACGCGGAAGGGUAAGUGGACCCGGGCGUUGGUUGCCCCGGGGUAAGUGUGUAGGGCGAGGUCCAGGCAAAUCCGGACCUCAUGAAGCCAGAGGCACGAAGCCGAGCCGUAUUAGGCGAAGCCACUGAACGCCCAUGCCGCCGAGAAAACUCUCUAGCGAGUCUGCAUGGUGCCCGUACCCCAAACCGACACAGGUGGACAGGUAGAGAAUACCAAGGCGAGCGAGAUAACUCUGGUUAAGGAACUCGGCAAAAUGGUUCCGUAACUUCGGGAGAAGGAUCGCCCCGGUAAAGUGAAGGAUGAACAUCCGGAGCUUGAGGGGGCUGCAGUGACCAGGCCCGAGCGACUGUUUACUAAAAACACAGCAGCGUGCUAAGUCGCAAGACGCUGUAUACGCUGUGACGCCUGCCCGGUGCCGGAAGGUCAAGAGGAGGGGUUAGCUUCGGCGAAGCUCUGAAUCUAAGCCCCGGUAAACGGCGGCCGUAACUAUAACGGUCCUAAGGUUGAAGAAUUCGCAGCCUUAGUAAAACUGAACCAUAUGCGGGAAACUCCUCGCACAGCCGGCCGGUACUCGGCUGUUCUAUUAAAAGGGACAAUCAGUAAAAAUCCGGUCGGACAUGGGGACAAUCCGCAGGGAAGGUCCAAUCUGUAAUGGAAACCCUCAGAGACUUGACGUUCAGGAUUGAUCGAUGAAGCUUGACAGUCAGUGGAUCACAGGAUUCGUGGACGGUGAAGGAUGCUUCCACCUCGGGAUAAACCCACAUCCCGACAUGAAGACCGGCUUUCAGGUUCUGCCUGAAUUCACCGUUGUACAGCACGAACGCGAUGUGCAGGUGUUGCACGCUAUGAAAAGCCACUUCGGGUGCGGCGUGGUUCGCAGCAACCACGGCGACCGGAUGGCCUAUCGGGUGCGCAGCAUCGAGCAUUUGCUCGGUCGCAUCGUUCCAUUCUUUGUCAAGCACCCGCUGAAGACCAGAAAGCGGAUCGCGUUCGAGAAGUUUCGGCGCGUUCUGCUGCUGAUGGAAGCGGGCGAGCAUCUGACCGACGAAGGCGUUGAUCGGAUACGCCAGAUCGCCGGCCAGAUGAAUAGAGGUCAAUCAAGGUAAAGUCCGGCCCGCUUGGAAACAGGUGGGAUCAUCCGAGCGAAAUUCCUUGUCGGGUAAGUUCCGACCUGCACGAAUGGCGUAACGACUUGGGUACUGUCUCAACCAGAGACUCGGCGAAAUUGCAUUGUGAGUAAAGAUGCUCACUACCUGCGACAGGACGGAAAGACCCCGGAACCUUUACUGCAGCUUGACAUUGAUGUCUGGUAUACACUGUGUAGGAUAGGUGGGAGACCGCGAAACGGUGCCGCCAGGUACCGUGGAGUCACCCUUGAAAUACCACCCUUUGUAUGGCGGGCACCUAACUUAGGUCCGUUAUCCGGAUCAAGGACAGUGUCUGGCGGGCAGUUUCACUGGGGCGGUGGCCUCCUAAAGAGUAACGGAGGCGCUCAAUGGUUCCCUCAGUCUGGUCGGCAAUCAGACGACGAGUGCAAUGACACAAGGGAGCUUGACUGUGAGACUUACAAGUCGAACAGGGACGAAAGUCGGACAUAGUGAUCCUACCGUGGCAUGUGGAAGCGCGGUGGCUUAACGGCUAAAAGGUACUCCGGGGAUAACAGGCUCAUACCCCCCAAGAGUCCAUAUCGACGGGGGUGUUUGGCACCUCGAUGUCGGCUCGUCGCAUCCUGGGGCUGAAGCAGGUCCCAAG